UACGAGGGGUGCAAGCGUUGCUCGGAAUUAUUGGGCGUAAAGGGUUGGUAGGUGGUCUUGUUUGUCUAGGGUGAAAUCCCAUGGCUUAACUGUGGAAGUGCCCUAGAAACGGCAAGACUAGAGUCCUAGAGGGGUUUGUGGAAUUCCCGGUGUAGCGGUGAAUGCGUAGAGAUCGGGAGGAACACCAGCGGCGAAGGCGGCAAACUGGAUAGGCACUGACACUCAACAACGAAAGCGUGGGGAGCAAACAGG
This 252-nucleotide ribosomal RNA is filed under the name uncultured bacterium. RNAcentral's name for it is "partial 16S ribosomal RNA". It matches the Rfam family "Bacterial small subunit ribosomal RNA", at positions 524 to 776 of the family's 1533-position model. The record is from RNAcentral.